This 3172-nucleotide long non-coding RNA is filed under the name Mytilus galloprovincialis (Mediterranean mussel). Lineage: Eukaryota; Metazoa; Mollusca; Bivalvia; Mytilida; Mytilidae. The record is from RNAcentral.
GUUCGUUCUUAUCACUAUCUUCAAUUCACAAACAUUUAGUUUCUAACUUUAUCACCAUCACCAUACAAUUCACAAACAUCAAGUUUCGAACAUUAAUUGUAUUACAAUCGUACAAUUAGCAAAUAUCAAGUUUCAAGGAUAUAUUACAUUCGUAAAAUUAGCAAACAUCAAAUUUCAAGCAUAUAUUACAUCCGUAAAAUUAGCAAACAUCAAAUUUCCAACGCUUAUCAUUAUCAUGUGUUUUUUUGUGUCUUUGUAAGUUGUAAUCUGUAACAAAUCCUUUGCCACAAAUACUACAGUGUCGAAGAUUUCCAGAAUGUCUUUUCGAAUGAGUUCGUAGGUUAUGUUUCCUAUUAAACUGUUUACCGCAUACAUCACAUUUAUGCAUACCAUCACCAGUGUGUAAUUUCAUGUGCAACCCUAGAGUGUCUUUACUACACAACCCUUGACCAACACUGCACCUUAUAAGGUUUGUCAUCAUUAUGUGUAUAAGUUCUUACUGGUUUAUCUAAUCUAUGUGUAUGAGUUCUUAUGUGUCUCUCCAAGGCAUGUUUCUGACCAAAUCCUUUGCCACAUGCCCUGCAAGUGUACGGUUUAUCCCCAUUGUGUGUUCUCAUUUCAUGCUUUUGUAAGUAUUUUUCUAAUCUGAAACUUUUACCACAUGACUGACAGUGAUAAGGUUUCUCACCCGUUGUAAUGACAAAUGUCUCUUUAAAUCAUCUUUUCACCAUAACUUUUACCACACAUAUCACAUUUAUAAUUUUAUCAUCAGUAUGUGAUAUCAUAUGUCUUUUCAACACCUUGACUUUCGCUGAACACUUUACCACACAGAUCACAUUGAUACGGUUUUUCUCCAGUAUGUGUUCUCAUGUGUGUUUUUAAGAAAAACGAUAACUUAAACUCCUUUCCACAAAACUCACACUUGUGUGGUUUCUCGUCACUGUGUUGUCUCAUGUGUUUCUGUAAGUAGUAGGAAUCAUGAAAUCGUUUACCACAUAUAUUGCACUGUCUAGCUUUAUGAUUUCUUGUGUGUUUCUGAAAUUGCAGUUUACUUUUAAAUCCUAGUCCACACACAUCACACAGAUAAGAUAUGAAAUCAGCGUGUGUGCUCAUGUGUGAUUCAAAUAAAUCACUUCGAUCAAACCCUAAACCACAUAAAACACAAUUAUAAGGUCUAUCAACGUGUGUUCUCGUGUGGUCCUGUAGGUGUUGUUUGUCUGUAAAUUUUUCACCACACACAGCACAUGUGUAUGGUUUUUUAAUGAUAUGUGUUCUUAUUGGAAGCUGUACGUGUGGAGUGAACAUGGUAAACUUUUCAUCACAUAAAAUAUAUGUAUGUGGUUUAUAAACAAUGUGUGUCUCCUGGUGGUCUUUUAGGUGUUGUAUGUCAGUAAAAAUUUUACCGCACACAUUACAUGUGUGGGGUUUAUUAAUAAUAUGUUUUCUUGUGUGCUCUUGCAAGUCCUCUUUCUUAGUAAACGAUUCAUUGCAUACAAUACAUGCAUGUAGUUUAUUGAACACUAUGUGUUCUCAUGUGUUCCUGCAUAUGAUCAUUAGUUGUAAACUUUUCACCACACACAGUACAUGUGUGAGGUUUGUCAACAAUAUGGGUGUUUAUGUGUUCCUCCAAGUGCUCUUUCUUAGUGAACUUUUCAUGACAUACAGUACAUGUAUGAGGCUUAUAGAUAAUAUGUAUUCUCAUGUGAGUAGUAAGUUCCUUUUUCUUAGUAAACUUUUCAUGACAUACAACACACGUGUGAGUUUCAUUAACAAUAUGUAUUCUCAUGUGAUUAGUAAGUUCCUUUUUCUUAGUAAACUUUUCAUGACAUACAACACACAUGUGAUUGUUAACAAUAUGGAUCUCAUGUGAUUCUGUAAGUGUUCUUUCUCACGUAUCUUUCAUCUUUAUAAGCGUCUGAUUCUGUAAGGUUUAUAAGCAAUAUGUGUUCUCAUGUGAUUCUGUAAGUGUUCUUUCUCAUCUCUUUAUCUGGAGGUUUAAGCAAAUGUGUUCUCAUGUGACAUUCUGUAAGUGUUCUUUCUCAGUCAUCUUUCAUCUGGAGUUUAUAAGCAAUAUGUGUUCUCAUGUGACUCUGUAAUUGUGUUCUUCUCAGUUAUCUUUUCGUCUGGAGGUUUAUAGAGAUAUGGUUCUCAUGGUUCGUAGGUUCUUUCCAGUAUCUUUCGUCUGAGGUUAUAAGCAAUAUGUGUUCUCAUGUGAUUCUGUAAGUGUUCUUUCUCAGUCAUCUUUUCAUCUGGAGGUUUAUAAGCAAUAUGUGUUCUCAUGUGAUUCUGUAAGUGUUCUUUCUCAGUUAUCUUUUCAUCCGGAGGUUUAUAAGCAAUAUGUGUUCUCAUGUGUUUCUGAUAUUGUUCAGUAAUUCUAAAAAUUUUACCACACACAGCACAUGUGUAAGGUAUAUCAGCAAUAUGUUUUUUCCUGUGUUCCAGUAAAUGCUCUUUAGUAGUAAAUCUUUCACCACAUACAACACAUAUAUGAGGUUUCUUGACAAAAUGUAUUCUUAUAUGAUUCUGUAAGUGUUCUUUCUCUGUGAAACUUUCUUUACAAUGACCACAUACAUGAAAUGUCUGAGGUUUAUGAACAAUAACUAUUUUUGUGUCUUUUGAAGGUUUUACCUUCGGCUGAAUUCUCUGAUACAUACUGUAAAAUUGUACUUUAAUCACUUAUAUAAAUGUGCAUGUGUUCCUUUUAUUUGCCUUACUUCUUUCUCCACAACAGAAAUUUCUAAUCUAUAUGCUUCCCAUGUAAUGUCAUGAGCAUGACAUCUCAUGGGAUGACUGUGUUCAGUCCUCUGUAGUCUAGUCAAGAAAACUUCUAGUUUACAUAGCCUUAUUUAUAUUAAAUAUAGUCCAAUAUCAGACCUUUCACAUUGAUUUGUACUUCCAUCAGUUGAAAUAUUUUUAAUGAUAUAUAUAUUAUCCAAUAUCAAACCUUUUCGAAUUGGUUUGUACUUCCAUCAAACAACUGUUUUGUCAAUAUUAUACUUUUAUUUCUCUUUCUUUGUAUCUAUAAAUGGACAUCUUUAACUGGUCUGUUGACAAAUGGUGGGAUCUUUUACUGGUCUGUUGUCAAUUGGUGGCAUCUUUUACCGGUCUAUUGUCAAUUGGUAGUGUCAACCAUGGGUCUUAUUUCAUAACAUUCAGCUAACUAAUAAUUGAC